This is a long non-coding RNA of Poecilia reticulata (guppy), 1542 nucleotides long. RefSeq lists it as uncharacterized. The record is from RefSeq and is a predicted model, not a curated record. NCBI's taxonomy places the organism in Eukaryota, Metazoa, Chordata, Actinopteri, Cyprinodontiformes, Poeciliidae.
CCGGGAUGUCCACCUGUCCCUGGGAUGUCCCCCUGUCCCCGGGAUGUCCACCUGUCCCCCGGGAUGUCCACCUGUCCCUCGCAGAGAUAAUGCAGUUAUCUAACCUGCUGCUGUGUUUUCAUCUUGUUCCGACAGCAGGACCUUCCUCCUCUUCCUCCUCGUCCUCCUCUUCCUCCUCUUCCUCCUCGUCCUCCUCUUCCUCCUCUUCCUCCUCUUCCUCCUCUUCCUCCUCUCUACCAGGCGGCUCCGCUCUCAGAGGUCGGGAGAAGUUUGUUAAAAGCAGGAAAUGGAUCCGGAGACGCACAGACUUCCCCAGGUUGGUCCGACUGAGAUCCGACCUGCUGCGCGGACCGAACCGAACAGGAAAGUGAUCCGGUUAGAAGAGCUGGCAGGUCUGGAGCGGCCACCAGGGGGCAGCAGUGAGGAGAACUUGUGCCUGGUGCAGGUCGGCGUCCAGCAGCCGGGAUCAACGACCCAGAGGACGGAGAGCCGGGUGUCCGUCUGCCGGUCCUCCAUGACGUCACGGCGGAUCUGCGUCGCUGCGUUACAAGAACCAGGCGGCGGCUGCAGAUUGAAUUAAAUAUCAGACGGACUGAGGGUGAGAUCUGAGCUUCAGGGAAACAAAACACCCAACAUGUUUCUGAGUGGGAGGAAGCAGGAGAACAUGCAGAAAACCCCAGGUUGGGAUUCAAACCCACAACCUGCCGGGAUUCCAGCCCUCAGAGCAAAGCGGCGAUUCUGCUAAACAGACAACACAAGUUUUUAUUUCCUUACUUCAGAAUGCAUUAAUGUUGUUGCCCAGAAUGUUGGACAAAAUGAAAUUUUUAUUUCGAAUCACAUUUAUGACGUUCUAGCAGAUUUCAGGAAAUCUUUUAAAACUUUUCAUCCAGUUUUUCACUUUCAAGUUUUUAACCACGACUCAUAAAACAUUUAAGUUUAUUUUCUCCUGUUCCCCAUUUGUGUGGAUUAUUUCACGUUAUCCUGUACAGAUGAUCCGUUCACAACCUCAGGGCCGGCGGUUCUGACCCGGUUCUGGUUGGAGCGGUUCUGUUGCGCGCAGCAGCAGAAAACAGAACCGUAAAUCUGUUCAAAUUGUGAUGCUGAGCGGGAAGCAGCAGGAUUAAAUCAGGAAAAUCAUCCAGAUUCGCCCCGCUACCGUGUUUGAUCUGUUGGGGUUUAGCUUCUAAGCUAAAUAUUGACCUCCGUAGCUAARUUGCUGCCUUAGUAUUCCAACUAAAUUGAAGCUAAUGUUUGAGGCUAAAUAGUUAGCAAGCUAAAUAUGUAGUUGGUGCUAAAUGCUUAGUUAGCAAACUGAAUAUGUAGAUUGAAGCUUAGCUAGCUUAGCUUCAAUCUAAAUAUUUAGCUUCAGCCAUUUAGCUUAACUAGUUAACUAGCUACAAUCUGAAUAUUUUGUUCUCUAGCUACAUAUUUAGCUUGACAACUAACUAACUAGCUUCAUCUAAACAUCUUGAGACAUUUGUAAAUGAAUAAAUAAGGUGAAAACAUGUUWGUUUUUUAAUAAACCUUUAUUUGUCUUGCUUA